AACGCACAUUGCGCCCCUUGGUAUUCCGAGGGGCAUGCCUAUUCGAGCGUCAUUAUCACCCCUCAAGCCUAGCUUGGUGUUGAGGCCUGCUGUAAGGGCAGCCUCUAAAAUCAGUGGCAGUGCUGUCAGGCUCUAAGCGUAGUAAAAUUCAUCGCUAUAGACACCUGGUGGACACUCGCCAGAACCCCCCCAUUUUUUAAUGAUUGACCUCGGAUUAGGUAGGGAUACCCGCUGAACUUAA
This 241-nucleotide unclassified non-coding RNA is filed under the name uncultured Tetracladium. RNAcentral's name for it is "sequence contains ITS2". Lineage: Eukaryota; Fungi; Ascomycota. The record is from RNAcentral.